CACGACCCCAGGUCAGGCGGGAUCACCCACUGAGUUUAAGCAUAUCAAUAAGCGGAGGAAAAGAAACUUACCAAGAUUCUCCUAGUAACGACGAGCGAAUCGGGAAGAGCCUAGCUUGAGAAUCGGGUGCCUCUGGUGACCAAAUUAUAGUCUGAAGAAGCGUCCUUAGCGACAGACCAGGUCCAAGUCCCCUGAAAAGGGGCACCAGAGAGGGUGAAAGCCCUGUUGUGCUCGGACCCUAUCGUACCAUGAGGUGCUGUCCGCGAGUCAGGUUGUUUAGGAAAGUAGCCCCAACCGGGUGGUAAAUUCUGUCCAAGGCUGAAUACGGGUGAGAGAUCGAUAGUGAACAAGUACUACGAGGGAAAGAUGAAAAGGACUUUGAAAAAAGAGUCAAAGAGUGCUUGAAAUUAUCGGGAGGGAAGUGGAUUGGGGUCUACGAUGUGCCCCGAUCGGAUGUGGAACGACAAGAGCCAAUCUAUCGAUGUGCCAGUGAAGACGUCUUCAUCACGAUCGUGGAAUGCAGCACGCACCAUCUCGGCAUGCUCAACACCUGCGUGCCCCUAGCGUCAGCCUACGGACUCUCCAUCCGGCUCGUCUUGAAACAUGGACCAAGGAGUUUGACAUGCGUGCUAGUCAACGGGUCAGGAAACGCAUAAGGCAUAAGGAAACUGAUUGGCAGGAUCCCUCGUGGGUGCACCACCGACCAACCUUGAUCUUCUGAGAAGGGUUCAAGUGCGAGCAUGCCCGUCGGGACCUAAAAAAUGGUGAACUAUGCCUGAGUGGGGCAAAGCUAGAUGAAACUCUAGUGGAGGCCCGCAGCGAUACUGACGUGCAAAUCAUUCGUCUGACUUGGGUAUAGGGGCAAAAGACUAAUCAAACCAUCUAGUAGUUGGUUCCCUCCGAAGUAUCCCUCAGGACAGCUGGAGCCCCCGAUGAGUUCUAUCGGGUAAAGCCAAUAAUUAGAGGCAUUCGGGGUGCAAUGCCCUCGACCUAUUCCAAGUGGGCCAUUUUUGGUAAGCAGAACUGGCAAUGCAGGAUGAACCAAAAGUCAGGUUACAGUGCCCAACUGCGUGCUAACCCAGAACCAUAAAGCGUGUUGGUCGAUUAAGACAGUAGGACGGUGGUCAUGGAAGUCGAAAUCUACUAAGGAAUGUGCAACAACUCACCUACCGAAUCAACUAGCCCCAAAAAUGGAUGGUGCGUAAGCGGGUGACCUAUACCCGACCGUCGAGGCAGGGGCUAGACCCUGAUGAGUAGGAAGGUGUGGUGGUUGCCACAAAACCUAGGGUGCAAGCCCGACAAAGCGACCGUCGGUGCAGAUCUUGAUAGUAGUAGCAAAUAUUCAAAUGAGAACUUUGAAGGCCAAAGAGGGGAAAGGUUCCAAGUGAAUGGCACUUGCACAUGGGUUAGUCGAUCAUAAAAGAUGGGGGAAGCCCGUCCGACAGCACGUCCUACGUGAGCUUCAAAAGGGCAUCGAGUUAAAAUUCUUAAACUGGGAUGCAAUGAUUGAUGGCAACAUUAGGGAGUCCAGAUAUGUCGAUGGACGAGCCGUACGGGCCACCUUGGAGCUCAAUUCCCAUUGAGCGAUGGGUAGAAUCCUUUGUAGAUGACUUAAAUACGCGAUGGAGUAUUGUAAGUGGCAGAGUGGCCUUGCUUCCAUGGUCCAUUGAGAUUCAGCCCUUUCUCGCUUUGAUUCGUCCCUCCCCCCUCCCUUUUCCCCUCCCAUUCCCCCAUUGACCUUCCUUCUUUUUACGUCACCCCCCUCUAGGGUUGGGCAUGACCCGGGGCCCUCCAUCCCUCGAUCCCGAUCGGGAAUGAACUCCACAUGCUUAAAUCAACCUACAAAAUGAGCGUAGCGAGCACUAGCUGCCAGAGAGGUAGAAUGCGCAAGUGGAGGAAUGAUCGGUCCCCCUUUGUGUGUUAUGAUCUGCUUAAAACGGUUCUUGCUGCCACAACCCUGGUCUGAUCGAGCUUAGACUGGAAAUGAAAUCCGUAUGCCUAAGUCAACCUACGAAAUAGCGUGCGGGCACAAGCGGCUAGAGAGGCAGAAUAUUUGCAAGCUAAGGAUCAAUUGGGUCCCCCUCUAUGUGCUGCGCAGUCUGCAGGCUUUCUAUACGGUUCGAAUUCGACCCCACUCCUUGGGACCACCUGGAUGCAGUGCGAGCAUGUUAUGGGCCUGGUCUUGGUGUCACAGACAAGCUGGACUUCUGAGUAGGUGGUCUUGACAGCAAUAGCAAUGACUAUUGCUGGAACCCCCGCCUCUACGUACGGUGCUCGAGCCUUGGCCACUGGUGCACGGGCCUCAACUCCUGGUGCGCACGCCCAAGGCCUGGCACUAGCACUUGGUGCGAGCUGCUACCUUGAACACCCCUAGUCUGAUCGUAUGCUCGCACCUCGAUCAUUAGUGCCCUCACGUCGGUCUGACUACGUACCUGAGCAUCGCUCACCAACACCCACACCUGGGCCUGGCUCAAUUCUGCCGAACCUAACACCGUGUCUGACCCCUGGAGUCCUGAUCAUUACCCGUAGCACUAUCUCGAUCCAGUUCCCCAUGACCUGUACCUCGAGUAGGCCUAAGGCCUAGUCCUCUCUGGCUGUUGAACCCUAUCCCACUACAACCUAGGGGCCAGUCCCGACUUGCUCGCUAACCGUGACACAUGCGUCACAGGCUCUGACUUUAGACUCAGAAUCCGUGCAGCCUUAGGCUUGGAAUCUCUUUCU
This 2721-nucleotide ribosomal RNA is filed under the name Durio zibethinus. RNAcentral describes it as "eukaryotic LSU rRNA". The stretch from base 3 to 1698 matches the Rfam family "Eukaryotic large subunit ribosomal RNA". Lineage: Eukaryota; Viridiplantae; Streptophyta; Magnoliopsida; Malvales; Malvaceae. The record is from RNAcentral.